AAACCAACAGGGAUUGCCUUAGUAGCGGCGAGUGAAGCGGCAAAAGCUCAAAUUUGAAAUCUGGCUCUUUCAGAGUCCGAGUUGUAAUUUGAAGAAGGUAUCUUUGGGUCUGGCUCUUGUCUAUGUUUCUUGGAACAGAACGUCACAGAGGGUGAGAAUCCCGUGCGAUGAGAUGAUCCAGGCCUAUGUAAAGUUCCUUCGAAGAGUCGAGUUGUUUGGGAAUGCAGCUCUAAGUGGGUGGUAAAUUCCAUCUAAAGCUAAAUAUUGGCGAGAGACCGAUAGCGAACAAGUACAGUGAUGGAAAGAUGAAAAGAACUUUGAAAAGAGAGUGAAAAAGUACGUGAAAUUGUUGAAAGGGAAGGGCUUGAGAUCAGACUUGGUAUUUUGUAUGUUACUUCUUCGGGGGUGGCCUCUACAGUUUAUCGGGCCAGCAUCAGUUUGGGCGGUAGGAGAAUUGCGUUGGAAUGUGGCACGGCUUCGGUUGUGUGUUAUAGCCUUCGUCGAUACUGCCAGCCUAGACUGAGGACUGCGGUUUAUACCUAGGAUGCUGGCAUAAUGAUCUUAAGUCGC
RNAcentral lists this ribosomal RNA (570 nucleotides) under Candida tropicalis. Its description in RNAcentral is "eukaryotic LSU rRNA". It matches the Rfam family "Eukaryotic large subunit ribosomal RNA", at positions 62 to 648 of the family's 3401-position model. Lineage: Eukaryota; Fungi; Ascomycota; Pichiomycetes; Serinales; Debaryomycetaceae. The record is from RNAcentral.